GGUUAAAUAGAAAAGUGACAUUAAUCAAAAAUAGCAAAUUUUUCAAUACACGCAUUUAAAGUUUUUACUUUUAUUAAAAUUAAUUUUUCCUUAUAUUUUUUAUAUUUACAUGUAAGUGUUAUUUAUCAUUUUGAAGGUAUUUACAUAAAGAUUAAGAUAUCGUUGUUAUUUUAUAAAAUUACAAU
Molecule: long non-coding RNA, 185 nt
Organism: Melitaea cinxia (Glanville fritillary)
Lineage: Eukaryota; Metazoa; Arthropoda; Insecta; Lepidoptera; Nymphalidae
Exons: 3
Source: RefSeq, a predicted model, not a curated record